GAUGAACGCUGGCGGCGUGCCUAACACAUGCAAGUCGAACGAUAUAGUGGCGAACGGGUGAGUAACACGUAAGUAAUCUACCUUUAAGACUGGGACAACCUUGAGAAAUCGGGGCUAAUACCAGAUGUGGCUACCGAAAGACAUCUUUUGGUAAUUAAAUCCAGCAAUGGGCUUAGAGAUGGACUUGCGGCUUAUCAGCUAGUUGGUGGGGUAAUGGCUCACCAAGGCAAUGACGAGUAGCUGGUCUGAGAGGACGAUCAGUCACAAGGGAACUGAGACACGGUCCCUACUCCUACGGGAGGCAGCAGUGAGGAAUUUUCCGCAAUGGGCGAAAGCCUGACGGAGCGACGUCGUGUGUGGGAUGAAGUCUUUCGGGAUGUAAACCACUGUCAGAGGGGAAGAUAUUGACGGUACCCUCAGAGAAGCCCCGCUAACU
RNAcentral lists this ribosomal RNA (436 nucleotides) under uncultured bacterium. RNAcentral's name for it is "bacterial SSU rRNA". It matches the Rfam family "Bacterial small subunit ribosomal RNA", at positions 28 to 502 of the family's 1533-position model. The record is from RNAcentral.